GACACAGUGAGUGGCACUUGCUUGUAGUCCCAGCUACUUGGGAGGCUGAGGCAGGAGGAUCACUUGAGCCCAGGAGUUUGGGGUUCUCCUGGGCAACACGGAGACCUUGUAUCCU
RNAcentral lists this small RNA (115 nucleotides) under Marmota monax (woodchuck). The record is from RNAcentral. Lineage: Eukaryota; Metazoa; Chordata; Mammalia; Rodentia; Sciuridae.